Molecule: long non-coding RNA, 1921 nt
Filed under: Citrus sinensis (sweet orange)
Lineage: Eukaryota; Viridiplantae; Streptophyta; Magnoliopsida; Sapindales; Rutaceae
Description: long non-coding RNA (CSIN_LNC002306)
Source: RNAcentral
AUUUCAACCCCAAUUGCCAAAUUUUUCAAAAUCAAGAAACAUUGGGCUAGAUGGGAAAGACUAAGUCAUGCCAAGAUACGAGGGGGACUAGGCUUCAGAGAAUUUUCAUGUUUCAACCAAGCCCUUAUUGCAAAGCAGGGGUGGAGAAUCCUGCAUAAUCCCGAGUCUUUAAUGGCACAGAUUUUGAAGGCAAAAUACUUCAAGCACUCUAGCUUUAUGGAAGCAAAGCUGGGGUCCAAUCCAUCUUAUGUGUGGAGGAGUAUUCUGUGGGGUAGGCAAGUGUUGCAUAAAGGCUUAAGAUGGAGGAUAGGAGAUGGGAAGCAAGUAAAAAUUUCUGGAAACAAUUGGGUAAAAAAUUUUGAGAUCCCUAGAGCAAACCCACACCCCAGCUUAUCAAUGGAGGCUGUGGUGGCUGAGUUAAUUGAUGGAAGCAACAAGUGGAGGGAAGACUUGAUUGGGCAGUCUUUUUCAAAGGAAACUGCUGAACGAAUAUUGAGAACUCCACUGCCAAAAACUCCAAGACCAGAUAAGCUGGUAUGGCACUUUGAUAAACAUGGAAUCUACUCGGUUAAAAGUGGUUACCAGUUGGCAGUGAAGUUAAAAUCCCCAGAUAGGCCAAGUUGCUCAGACAUAUCCAAAACAAUGUGGAAGGUUAUCUGGGUAAAUGACAUUCCAGAGAAGGUAAAAAUUUUUAUGUGGAGGGCUGCUCAAAAUGUGCUACCAACGGUAGAAAAUCUAUGGAAGAGGAAAAUUGUACAGGAUCCAGUGUGUCAGAGAUGCUGUAGGAUGAGCGAAGAUGUGUUCCAUGCUCUGGUGGGGUGUAGUUUUGCUCGGAAAGUGUGGAAGCUGACAGAUUUUUAUGAAGAGAUUAAGGGGUUGGCUCAUCAGGAUAUGUUAAGUGUGCUGCAAGAGUUAGCAAUGAUGAGGGGGAAGAAAGACAUUGAACAAAUAAUUGCAGUUUGCUGGGCAAUAUGGCACUCGAGGAAUUGCUUUGUUUUUGAAGGAAAGAUGGAAGAUCCUCUGUAUUCAGCUACAAGAGCAGAAGCCGUUGUGGAGUCAUAUAGGAGGAUAAAUCCUGGAAAAAAUAAUGCUUUGGCUGGGCAGCAACAAAAUGGGCAGCAAGUUUGGAAGCCUCCUCUACCUGGCUGUUUCAAAGUAAAUGUAGAUGCGGCUACAAAUUUAUCUAAGCAAAGGGGAGGGAUUGGGGCUGUGGUCAGAGAUUCCAGAGGAGAUUGUGUAGCUGCAGCAGCCCAGAGAACUACCCUUAAAGGUAAUGUUGCAGACAUGGAGGCUGAAGCUGUGCUACUAGGCAUCCAAGUAGCGAGGAAAGCAAAUUGUGCCCAUUUUGUUAUUGAAUCAGACUCUAAAGAAGUUGUGGAGCUUGUUCUGAAAAGGAAGAGCAGCUUAGCUGAAAUAUCAUGGAACAUAGAAGAAAUUCAGGAAUGUUUAAAAGGGCAGAGCACGACAUCUAUUUUUUUUGUGCCAAGAAGGUGUAAUGUCAUGGCUCAUAACUUGGCAAAAGUUGCUUUAGAUUGUGUAGACCCUGUCCUCUGGAUAGGAAAUUGCCCAGUUCCCGCUGGAGAUAUUUUUCUCCAGCUUUAAUCUUUGGAAAGGCUUACUUUCUUUCAAAAAAAAAAAAAAAAAGAAACGUCCAUAGACUUUCUUUUACUCGGCUUCAAGAAUUCCACAUUCCCAUAAACCUAAUUGUUUGAAAAUGCGGAUGGAAAACUAAUAAAAACCCAUCAUGCGAAUGAAUUGCUAGUUUUUUUUGGGGCCCUACCCAAUCAAUUAUACAAAUUAAUUAAUAACUUAUGUCAUGCCGUGCCCAUGCUAAGUUAGUAACUUAUGUCCACCUAAGAGUGGUGAUAAAAUAUUUAUAAGUGUUUUCUUUUCUUUUUGAUUGUCAAAUAAUCUUUAAGUU